RNAcentral lists this ribosomal RNA (564 nucleotides) under Streptomyces sp. 413E12. Its description in RNAcentral is "bacterial SSU rRNA". It matches the Rfam family "Bacterial small subunit ribosomal RNA", at positions 93 to 671 of the family's 1533-position model. Lineage: Bacteria; Bacillati; Actinomycetota; Actinomycetes; Kitasatosporales; Streptomycetaceae. The record is from RNAcentral.
GAGCGGCGAACGGGUGAGUAACACGUGGGUGAUCUGCCUCGUACUUCGGGAUAAGCCUGGGAAACUGGGUCUAAUACCGGAUAUGACCGCAUGCUGCAUGGUGUGUGGUGGAAAGAUUUAUCGGUGCGAGAUGGGCCCGCGGCCUAUCAGCUUGUUGGUGGGGUAAUGGCCUACCAAGGCGACGACGGGUAGCCGACCUGAGAGGGUGACCGGCCACACUGGGACUGAGACACGGCCCAGACUCCUACGGGAGGCAGCAGUGGGGAAUAUUGCACAAUGGGCGGAAGCCUGAUGCAGCGACGCCGCGUGAGGGAUGACGGCCUUCGGGUUGUAAACCUCUUUCGACAGGGACGAAGCGGAAGUGACGGUACCUGUAGAAGAAGCACCGGCCAACUACGUGCCAGCAGCCGCGGUAAUACGUAGGGUGCGAGCGUUGUCCGGAAUUACUGGGCGUAAAGAGCUUGUAGGCGGUUUGUCGCGUCUUCUGUGAAAACUCACAGCUCAACUGUGAGCUUGCAGGGGAUACGGGCAGACUAGAGUACUUCAGGGGAGACUGGAAUUCCU